AGAGUUUGAUCCUGGCUCAGGACGAGCGCUGGCGGCGUGCUUAACACAUGCAAGUCGAACGGAAAGGCCCUUCGGGGUACUCGAGUGGCGAACGGGUGAGUAACACGUGGGUGAUCUGCCCUGCACUUUGGGAUAAGCCUGGGAAACUGGGUCUAAUACCGAAUAGGACCACGCGCUUCAUGGUGUGUGGUGGAAAGCUUUUGCGGUGUGGGAUGGGCCCGCGGCCUAUCAGCUUGUUGGUGGGGUAAUGGCCUACCAAGGCGACGACGGGUAGCCGGCCUGAGAGGGUGACCGGCCACACUGGGACUGAGAUACGGCCCAGACUCCUACGGGAGGCAGCAGUGGGGAAUAUUGCACAAUGGGCGCAAGCCUGAUGCAGCGACGCCGCGUGAGGGAUGACGGCCUUCGGGUUGUAAACCUCUUUCAAUAGGGACGAAGCGCAAGUGACGGUACCUAUAGAAGAAGCACCGGCCAACUACGUGCCAGCAGCCGCGGUAAUACGUAGGGUGCGAGCGUUGUCCGGAAUUACUGGGCGUAAAGAGCUCGUAGGUGGUUUGUCGCGUUGUUCGUGAAAACUCACAGCUUAACUGUGGGCGUGCGGGCGAUACGGGCAGACUAGAGUACUGCAGGGGAGACUGGAAUUCCUGGUGUAGCGGUGGAAUGCGCAGAUAUCAGGAGGAACACCGGUGGCGAAGGCGGGUCUCUGGGCAGUAACUGACGCUGAGGAGCGAAAGCGUGGGGAGCGAACAGGAUUAGAUACCCUGGUAGUCC
This 771-nucleotide ribosomal RNA is filed under the name uncultured bacterium. RNAcentral's name for it is "bacterial SSU rRNA". It matches the Rfam family "Bacterial small subunit ribosomal RNA", at positions 8 to 796 of the family's 1533-position model. The record is from RNAcentral.